CCUACGGGAGGCUGCAGUGAGGAAUAUUGGUCAAUGGGCGCGAGCCUGAACCAGCCAAGUAGCGUGAAGGAUGACUGCCCUACGGGUUGUAAACUUCUUUUAUAAAGGAAUAUAGUGAGGCACGUGUGCCUUUUUGUAUGUAUUUUAUGAAUAAGGAUCGGCUAACUCCGUGCCAGCAGCCGCGGUAAUACGGAGGAUCCGAGCGUUAUCCGGAUUUAUUGGGUUUAAAGGGAGCGUAGAUGGGUUGUUAAGUCAGUUGUGAAAGUUUGCGGCUCAACCGUAAAAUUGCAAUUGAUACUGGCAGCCUUGAGUACAGUUGAGGUAGGCGGAAUUCGUGGUGUAGCGGUGAAAUGCUUAGAUAUCACGAAGAACUCCGAUUGCGAAGGCAGCUUACUAAACUAUAACUGACACUGAAGCACGAAAGCGUGGGGAUCAAACAGGAUUAGAUACCCGAGUAGUC
This 460-nucleotide ribosomal RNA is filed under the name uncultured bacterium. RNAcentral describes it as "partial 16S ribosomal RNA". It matches the Rfam family "Bacterial small subunit ribosomal RNA", at positions 338 to 795 of the family's 1533-position model. The record is from RNAcentral.